ACGAGUUUGAUCUGGCUCAGGACGAACGCUGGCGGCGUGCCUAAUACAUGCAAGUCGAGCGGACCAAAGGGAGCUUGCUCCUGGAGGUUAGCGGCGAACGGGUGAGUAACACGUGGGCAACCUGCCUGUAAGACUGGGAUAACAUCGAGAAAUCGGUGCUAAUACCGGAUAAUAAAAAGAACUGCAUGGUUCUUUUUUGAAAGAUGGUUUCGGCUAUCACUUACAGAUGGGCCCGCGGCGCAUUAGCUAGUUGGUGAGGUAACGGCUCACCAAGGCGACGAUGCGUAGCCGACCUGAGAGGGUGAUCGGCCACACUGGGACUGAGACACGGCCCAGACUCCUACGGGAGGCAGCAGUAGGGAAUCUUCCGCAAUGGACGAAAGUCUGACGGAGCAACGCCGCGUGAGUGAUGAAGGUUUUCGGAUCGUAAAACUCUGUUGUUAGGGAAGAACAAGUGCCGUUCGAAAGGGCGGCACCUUGACGGUACCUAACGAGAAAGCCACGGCUAACUACGUG
Molecule: ribosomal RNA, 516 nt
Filed under: uncultured bacterium
Lineage: Bacteria
Description: bacterial SSU rRNA
Rfam family: Bacterial small subunit ribosomal RNA
Source: RNAcentral